This 447-nucleotide ribosomal RNA is filed under the name uncultured Thiobacillus sp. Its description in RNAcentral is "bacterial SSU rRNA". It matches the Rfam family "Bacterial small subunit ribosomal RNA", at positions 930 to 1382 of the family's 1533-position model. The record is from RNAcentral. Lineage: Bacteria; Pseudomonadati; Pseudomonadota; Betaproteobacteria; Nitrosomonadales; Thiobacillaceae.
CGGUGGAUGAUGUGGAUUAAUUCGAUGCAACGCGAAGAACCUUACUACCCUUGACAUGUCCGGAACUUGCCAGAGAUGGCUUGGUGCCCGAAAGGGAACCGGAACACAGGUGCUGCAUGGCUGUCGUCAGCUCGUGUCGUGAGGUGUUCGGGUUAAGUCCCGCAACGAGCGCAACCCUUGUCCUUAGUUGCUACGCAAGGGCACUCUAAGGAGACUGCCGGUGACAAACCGGAGGAAGUGGGGAUGACGUCAAGUCCUCAUGGCCCUUAUGGGUAGGGCUUCACACGUCAUACAAUGGUCGGUACAGAGGGUUGCCAAGCCGCGAGGUGGAGCCAAUCCCACAAAGCCGAUCGUAGUCCGGAUUGUUCUCUGCAACUCGAGAGCAUGAAGUCGGAAUCGCUAAUAAUCGCAGGUCAGCAUACUGCGGUGAAUACGUUCCCGGGUCUU